This 364-nucleotide long non-coding RNA is filed under the name Linum usitatissimum (flax). RNAcentral describes it as "long non-coding RNA (LUSI_LNC005456)". The record is from RNAcentral. Lineage: Eukaryota; Viridiplantae; Streptophyta; Magnoliopsida; Malpighiales; Linaceae.
UUUCACUUUCUGUCUCUCUCUCUAAACUUUCUCCUCCAAUUCUCUCUCGCUUCUCUCUAACAUCUCUCCUCUCCUCCUCCUCUCCUCCACCUUCUUCUCCUCUGUGCCGCCUCUUUUCCGUUGCCGGCAACAGUGCCGCCGCCUCUUCUGUCGCCGCCGUGCCUCCCUUCUUUUUUUUUCUUCUUUUCUUCUCUUCUUAUUUUCUUCUCUUCUUCUUUCUCUCUUCUUCACCCCCUUUCUGCCCCGAUUUCGACGUCCAGAGCGACGGCGGUCCCGACGCCGCUGCUGCCUCUCCCUCAACCGCGACAAAAAGGUAAACAGAAACGUAGAUCUACUUCCCUUACUUUUAUCCUUUCUAUUUCAG